RNAcentral lists this microRNA (21 nucleotides) under Fragaria vesca subsp. vesca. RNAcentral describes it as "fve-miR477b". Its record names the gene fve-miR477b. The record is from miRBase by way of RNAcentral. Lineage: Eukaryota; Viridiplantae; Streptophyta; Magnoliopsida; Rosales; Rosaceae.
CGCGCACCCGUUCAUCUUCGC